Molecule: ribosomal RNA, 497 nt
Filed under: uncultured bacterium
Lineage: Bacteria
Description: partial 16S ribosomal RNA
Rfam family: Bacterial small subunit ribosomal RNA
Source: RNAcentral
GAUGAACGCUGGCGGCGUGCCUAAUACAUGCAAGUCGAGCGAACAGACGAGGAGCUUGCUCCUCUGACGUUAGCGGCGGACGGGUGAGUAACACGUGGAUAACCUACCUAUAAGACUGGGAUAACUUCGGGAAACCGGAGCUAAUACCGGAUAAUAUAUUGAACCGCAUGGUUCAAUAGUGAAAGAUGGUUUUGCUGUCACUUAUAGAUGGAUCCGCGCCGCAUUAGCUAGUUGGUAAGGUAACGGCUUACCAAGGCAACGAUGCGUAGCCGACCUGAGAGGGUGAUCGGCCACACUGGAACUGAGACACGGUCCAGACUCCUACGGGAGGCAGCAGUAGGGAAUCUUCCGCAAAGGGCGAAAGCUUGACGGAGCAACGCCGCGUGAGUGAUGAAGGUCUUCGGAUCGUAAAACUCUGUUAUUAGGGAAGAACAAAUGUGUAAGUAACUAUGCACGUCUUGACGGUACCUAAUCAGAAAGCCACGGCUAACUACGUG